GCCGGGUGUGGUGGCGCAUGCCUGUAAUCCAAGUGUCAUGGAGGCUGAAGCUGGAGGAUUGUAGGAGCUCUGAGCUGCAGUGGUCUACGCUGAUCGGGAGUCCGCACUCAGUUCGGUAUCAAUAUGGUCUGUCUGGAGGAGCCUGGAACAACCAGGUCGUCUAAGGAGGGGUGAAUCGGCCCAGGUCGGAAACGGAGCAGGCCAAAGCCCCCGUCCCGCUCAGUUGUGGGAUUGCACCUGAGAGUAGACGCUGAAAAUGAGAAUUUAAUUAGAUAAUGUAUUUUCUU
This 287-nucleotide signal recognition particle RNA is filed under the name Oryzias javanicus (javanese ricefish). Its description in RNAcentral is "Metazoan signal recognition particle RNA (ENSOJAG00000009416.1)". It matches the Rfam family "Metazoan signal recognition particle RNA". From Rfam's summary of the family: The signal recognition particle (SRP) is a universally conserved ribonucleoprotein. The record is from Rfam by way of RNAcentral. Lineage: Eukaryota; Metazoa; Chordata; Actinopteri; Beloniformes; Adrianichthyidae.